Molecule: ribosomal RNA, 330 nt
Filed under: uncultured bacterium
Lineage: Bacteria
Description: bacterial SSU rRNA
Rfam family: Archaeal small subunit ribosomal RNA
Source: RNAcentral
AGUGAAUAGAUACCCAGGUAGUCCCAGCUGUAAACGAUGCGCGUUAGGUGUAUCGGUGACCACGAGUCAUCGAGGUGCCGAAGGGAAACCGUGAAACGUGCCGCCUGGGAAGUACGGUCGCAAGGCUGAAACUUAAAGGAAUUGGCGGGGGAGCACCACAACGGUGGAGCCUGCGGUUUAAUUGGACUCAACGCCGGGCAGCUCACCGGAUAAGACAGCUGGAUGAUAGCCGGGCUGAAGACUCUGCUUGACUAGCUGAGAGGAGGUGCAUGGCCGUCGUCAGUUCGUACUGUGAAGCAUCCUGUUAAGUCAGGCAACGAGCGAGACCCA